Long non-coding RNA from Haliotis rubra (blacklip abalone), 92 nucleotides. RefSeq lists it as uncharacterized. The record is from RefSeq and is a predicted model, not a curated record. Lineage: Eukaryota; Metazoa; Mollusca; Gastropoda; Lepetellida; Haliotidae. The transcript is spliced from 3 exons.
AUUAUCAUUGGUAAUAGCUAUACCACAGCCCCCCACUAAUUGACUAGAUUUGGCUAAUUACCCUGGAAUAUUUUCUUUAUUCGUAUACUACA